Molecule: transfer RNA, 76 nt
Filed under: Escherichia coli
Lineage: Bacteria; Pseudomonadati; Pseudomonadota; Gammaproteobacteria; Enterobacterales; Enterobacteriaceae
Also listed under: 3 other names
Description: tRNA-Lys
Rfam family: tRNA
About the family: Transfer RNA (tRNA) molecules are approximately 80 nucleotides in length. Their secondary structure includes four short double-helical elements and three loops (D, anti-codon, and T loops).
Source: RNAcentral
GCGUCGUUAGCUCAGUUGGUAGAGCAGUUGACUUUUAAUCAAUUGGUCGCAGGUUCGAAUCCUGCACGACCCACCA